CGGGUGAGUAAUGCCUAGGAAAUUGCCCUGAUGUGGGGGAUAACCAUUGGAAACGAUGGCUAAUACCGCAUGAUGCCUACGGGCCAAAGAGGGGGACCUUCGGGCCUCUCGCGUCAGGAUAUGCCUAGGUGGGAUUAGCUAGUUGGUGAGGUAAGGGCUCACCAAGGCGACGAUCCCUAGCUGGUCUGAGAGGAUGAUCAGCCACACUGGAACUGAGACACGGUCCAGACUCCUACGGGAGGCAGCAGUGGGGAAUAUUGCACAAUGGGCGCAAGCCUGAUGCAGCCAUGCCGCGUGUGUGAAGAAGGCCUUCGGGUUGUAAAGCACUUUCAGUCGUGAGGAAGGUAGUGUAGUUAAUAGCUGCAUUAUUUGACGUUAGCGACAGAAGAAGCACCGGCUAACUCCGUGCCAGCAGCCGCGGUAAUACGGAGGGUGCGAGCGUUAAUCGGAAUUACUGGGCGUAAAGCGCAUGCAGGUGGUUUGUUAAGUCAGAUGUGAAAGCCCGGGGCUCAACCUCGGAAUAGCAUUUGAAACUGGCAGACUAGAGUACUGUAGAGGGGGGUAGAAUUUCAGGUGUAGCGGUGAAAUGCGUAGAGAUCUGAAGGAAUACCGGUGGCGAAGGCGGCCCCCUGGACAGAUACUGACACUCAGAUGCGAAAGCGUGGGGAGCAAACAGGAUUAGAUACCCUGGUAGUCCACGCCGUAAACGAUGUCUACUUGGAGGUUGUGGCCUUGAGCCGUGGCUUUCGGAGCUAACGCGUUAAGUAGACCGCCUGGGGAGUACGGUCGCAAGAUUAAAACUCAAAUGAAUUGACGGGGGCCCGCACAAGCGGUGGAGCAUGUGGUUUAAUUCGAUGCAACGCGAAGAACCUUACCUACUCUUGACAUCCAGAGAACUUUCCAGAGAUGGAUUGGUGCCUUCGGGAACUCUGAGACAGGUGCUGCAUGGCUGUCGUCAGCUCGUGUUGUGAAAUGUUGGGUUAAGUCCCGCAACGAGCGCAACCCUUAUCCUUGUUUGCCAGCGAGUAAUGUCGGGAACUCCAGGGAGACUGCCGGUGAUAAACCGGAGGAAGGUGGGGACGACGUCAAGUCAUCAUGGCCCUUACGAGUAGGGCUACACACGUGCUACAAUGGCGCAUACAGAGGGCGGCCAACUUGCGAAAGUGAGCGAAUCCCAAAAAGUGCGUCGUAGUCCGGAUUGGAGUCUGCAACUCGACUCCAUGAAGUCGGAAUCGCUAGUAAUCGUGGAUCAGAAUGCCACGGUGAAUACGUUCCCGGGCCUUGUACACACCGCCCG
RNAcentral lists this ribosomal RNA (1297 nucleotides) under Vibrio natriegens. Its description in RNAcentral is "bacterial SSU rRNA". It matches the Rfam family "Bacterial small subunit ribosomal RNA", at positions 103 to 1396 of the family's 1533-position model. Lineage: Bacteria; Pseudomonadati; Pseudomonadota; Gammaproteobacteria; Vibrionales; Vibrionaceae. The record is from RNAcentral.